Cinara cedri is the source of this 291-nucleotide non-coding RNA. NCBI's taxonomy places the organism in Eukaryota, Metazoa, Arthropoda, Insecta, Hemiptera, Aphididae. The record is from the annotation of a GenBank genome assembly.
UAUUAGAGCCAAUUAAUUCUCGGGCCGCGGCGGCGGCGGCGGCGGCCGGGGCGCCCGCGGGCGCGCGAGCGGUUAAUUCAAUAACCGAAAGCGUUAAAUUAAUUAUGCAGGUGCGUUCGUUUAAAGUCGCCGGAGCGACGGUAUACGAAAUACGUUUUAGCGGCGGCGGCGGUGCGGUUUCCGCGACGCUGCUGACGCUGCCGCUGACGCUGCUGCCGCUGCCGCUGCCGCCGCCGCCGCCGCUGCAGUCGCGUACAAUAAUCGAUCCGUCGAAAAGCGGCGUGUUAUUUU